AAAUUGAAGAGUUUGAUCAUGGCUCAGAUUGAACGCUGGCGGCAGGCCUAACACAUGCAAGUCGAACGGUAACAGGAAGCAGCUUGCUGCUUCGAUGACGAGUGGCGGACGGGUGAGUAAUGUCUGGGAAACUGCCUGAUGGAGGGGGAUAACUACUGGAAACGGUGGCUAAUACCGCAUAACGUCGCAAGACCAAAGAGGGGGACCUUCGGGCCUCUUGCCAUCAGAUGUGCCCAGAUGGGAUUAGCU
Molecule: ribosomal RNA, 249 nt
Filed under: Salmonella enterica
Lineage: Bacteria; Pseudomonadati; Pseudomonadota; Gammaproteobacteria; Enterobacterales; Enterobacteriaceae
Also listed under: 1 other name
Description: partial 16S ribosomal RNA
Rfam family: Bacterial small subunit ribosomal RNA
Source: RNAcentral